UAUUAUUCUUAGAUAAAAAUAUUCUUAGGUUAGUAAUAGUUAUUUACUUAAAAGCUAAAAAAUUUGGCGGUAAUUUAAUCUUUCCAGAGGAACUUGUUUUUUAAUCGAUAAACCUCGAAUAAUCUUACUUACCUUGGUAGAAGUUUGUAUACCAUCAUUAUCAGGCAAUUUUUAAAAAAGUAAUUUCUAAGUCUAAAAUUUAUAUAAAAAUUAGAUCAUGGUGCAGCUGAUAGGUAAGUUAAAAUGAGUUACAAUAAAGCUUUUUAUAACGGAGUAAUUAGAGAACAAUAAUUAUGAAGGAGGAUUUGGUAGUAUUGAAAAUUUAAUAUGUUUUUAAGAUGAUAGCUCUAAAUUAUGUACAUAU
RNAcentral lists this ribosomal RNA (364 nucleotides) under Austinixa sp. 1 EPT-2016. RNAcentral's name for it is "partial 12S ribosomal RNA". Lineage: Eukaryota; Metazoa; Arthropoda; Malacostraca; Decapoda; Pinnotheridae. The record is from RNAcentral.